AUGCAUUUUCAUGACAGAGAUAAUCUUGAGAGAACUAUGAUGUUGUCAGACAUCACUUUUUACAAUCUAGUUGCACUAAUAGAGAUUGAAGGAUAUGGGGUGAGGGAUUACAUGUACUAUGUGAAGGAUCCUGGCCUAGGGAUAGAAGGAAUGCAAGAAAUAGAGGAUGAUGACAUGAUGGAGGAAAUUCUAGACCACAUAGUACAGCAGAAGCAGAAGAUUUUCAAUGUGACAGUUGUUAGGGCCAGUUCCCCCAAACCUGCACAUAUAAAUUGCAGUGCUAAUGUUAUUGAGCAGCAGAUCCCUCUGUAG
This 312-nucleotide ribosomal RNA is filed under the name Triticum aestivum (bread wheat). RNAcentral describes it as "partial small subunit ribosomal RNA". Lineage: Eukaryota; Viridiplantae; Streptophyta; Magnoliopsida; Poales; Poaceae. The record is from RNAcentral.